CCUACGGGCGGCAGCAGUGAGGAAUAUUGGUCAAUGGACGAGAGUCUGAACCAGCCAAGUAGCGUGAAGGAUGACUGCCCUAUGGGUUGUAAACUUCUUUUAUAUGGGAAUAAAACGUUCCACGUGUGGGAUUUUGUAUGUACCAUAUGAAUAAGGAUCGGCUAACUACGUGCCAGCAGCCGCGGUAAUACGGAGGAUCCGAGCGUUAUCCGGAUUUAUUGGGUUUAAAGGGAGCGUAGGUGGAUUGUUAAGUCAGUUGUGAAAGUUUGCGGCUCAACCGUAAAAUUGCAGUUGAAACUGGCAGUCUUGAGUACAGUAGAGGUGUGCGGAAUUCGUGGUGUAGCGGUGAAAUGCUUAGAUAUCACGAAGAACUCCGAUUGCGAAGGCAGUUCACUGGACUGCAACUGACACUGAGGCUCGAAAGUGUGGGUAUCAAACAGGAUUAGAUACCCUUGUAGUC
Molecule: ribosomal RNA, 460 nt
Filed under: uncultured bacterium
Lineage: Bacteria
Description: partial 16S ribosomal RNA
Rfam family: Bacterial small subunit ribosomal RNA
Source: RNAcentral